GACCCGGUGGUGAAAAUGUUAUCACACCCACUCCUUGUUGCACAUGGUGGGCGCUUCAGCAGGUGGGAGUCCCUUGUUCAAACCAAGGCCGGGUCA
Non-coding RNA from Mycena rebaudengoi, 96 nucleotides. NCBI's taxonomy places the organism in Eukaryota, Fungi, Basidiomycota, Agaricomycetes, Agaricales, Mycenaceae. The record is from the annotation of a GenBank genome assembly.